GGGCUUGAUGAUGAGAAUACAACAGUUAUCUUACAACGGUCUACUGAGAACUCUUUUGAUGCAAUAAAUAUUCUCCGAAGUUU
Small nucleolar RNA from Phragmites australis (common reed), 83 nucleotides. RefSeq annotates it as small nucleolar RNA Z161/Z228. The record is from RefSeq and is a predicted model, not a curated record. NCBI's taxonomy places the organism in Eukaryota, Viridiplantae, Streptophyta, Magnoliopsida, Poales, Poaceae. The transcript has a single exon.